UGCACCGUGAAGCUCUUAGAAACAAUUUUAGGGCAGUUAGAGAGAAAACCAACUGGAAUUUAUCACCUCUUGCAUAACAUUAGACACAGUCAACACGUAAGGUCAGCGCGCCCCGCUGAGGGGGGACAGGACCGUGGGGACCGAAGCUGUCAGUAAUCUGCCGCUUGUGUAAAGUAUUUGGACUGACCACAACAACAGGGACCAGACUCUCCUGUCCCUCAAAGUAGGACCUGCAACUUCAGACUCAUCUCAGAUGCAAAUUAACUUUGAAAACUUCUGCACGUGUCAUUCCAUUUUGGAUUCCCGGGACUUUUUGGCACACCUUUACGCACGCCUGCGCUGCGCACCGUGACUGUCACACACUGUCUGAUCUGAUUGUGUGAGAAACUUUUAAUCCGGGCCAUGCUGCAGUGACUUCAGCACACAGCCUGGGACUUCAUGAUCAAGUUGUAAACAGCAGCGGGCGAAGAAGGAUGCUUGGAAAAUAUUUAUAACACAGCGAGCGGAGGAGACGAAGUCUGUUCUUGUUACUUGAUCGAGCAGAACCGAGGACAGUAAAUCACAGGGAGGCAAGUGGGCUGCAGAGGUGAAGCGAGGACAAGACAGCCUCUCCAUCACUCUCCUCCUCUUCCUGUUUUUGCUGACUCAGAGGAAACGUUGAGCAGUGUGACAGCCAUCACCUCGCUGAGAGUCAGAGAGAGUGUGUGUGCUCAGAACACACACAGAUCGAGACGAGAUAGAAGCCUGCCACUUUGCUACAGUAUGGGAGGUCCCUGUUACAGUAAUAAGGUGGCGUCCCUGGAAGAUGGGUGGAUGAAUGAACUCACAGCAGGAAUAGAGAGUCCUCUGCUAGUUCCGGAUAUCCCCUUGGAAACUGAUGCAGCACGACGGAAGUUGACCAGUUUAUUUUCCAAUGCCAAUACAAAGGUGAGUAGGAUGCUAGUUUAGCCGGGGC
Long non-coding RNA from Epinephelus fuscoguttatus (brown-marbled grouper), 955 nucleotides. RefSeq lists it as uncharacterized. The record is from RefSeq and is a predicted model, not a curated record. The transcript is spliced from 4 exons. NCBI's taxonomy places the organism in Eukaryota, Metazoa, Chordata, Actinopteri, Perciformes, Serranidae.